This 1137-nucleotide long non-coding RNA is filed under the name Homo sapiens (human). RNAcentral's name for it is "HSALNT0397052". The record is from RNAcentral. Lineage: Eukaryota; Metazoa; Chordata; Mammalia; Primates; Hominidae.
UAGCAUCUUAGCUGCUUCCGGCCGCUGGUCGCAGGGCUGCGGGACUACAAUCUUCGCAUGAAAUGGAAGAGAGGGUGGUGCGGAUAGCUUGAGGAAGGUCUCGCAUCUGGGGCUCGAUCUCGUGCAGAGGAGCAUUUCCGAAGACACUGGCCGCUCCCACAAUGGCUCCGAAGAACCCAGCGACCAGCGGGUUCAUGAGUUUGUUGGGGCUGUCCACUCGGUACCAGCUGCGCAGGGAUGUCAGGACAAAGAAACAAGUUGCCUGGUUCCAGCCCUGCUUCAGCACGGGGCCUGUGGGGCCCCGGUAAGUCCCGGUGUUCCCGCACAAUCUCCUAACCCUGUGGAAGAAUCCCCUGUACUUGGAUUUGGAGAGGUCUGGCCAUGGAUUAACUUCACCUUGAUGGUCUCCAUGGGACAUAGGACCACCACGGCCUCGGCCACGCUAGCUCACUGGCCGCACCGCUGCCCGCCUUGCUGUUCACCAGUCCCUGGGCAUCCCGCAUCUGGUUGCUGAGGAACGCCUGACGCCGCCUUGUGGAUGAAGCCGCAGAGCAGGGAGCUGAGGCUGCGGCCCAGGCCCAGGCUGCCUUGGCUGCGACUGUGUGCCUGCAGGCCCCAUGCCCGGUAUCCGGUGGAUGCGAGUGCUAGUCCAGCUGCAGCUGCAUCUUCACGAACUCGGCUGGAGUGCAGUGGCGCGAUCUUGGCUCACUACAACCUGGAUUCAAGCGAUUCUCCUGCCUCAGCCUCCCGAGUAGCUGGGAUUACAGGCAUGUGCCACCAUUCCCGGCUAAUUUUUUUGUCUUUUUAGUAGAGACGGUGUUUCCCCAUGUUGGUCAGGCUGGUCUCAAACGCCUGACUCAGAUGAUCCGCCCGCCUCGGCCACCCAAAGUGCUGAGAUUACAGGCUUGAACCACCGCGCCUGGCCCUGUGAUGUAGAUUUUGAUGCUGCCAGCCAGGCUGCCUGCCGGGAUCGCCUGCCCUGGAGCAGGAGCAUCAGCCGUGCGUUCCAGGACGCAGGCAUGGCAUGACCGGCAGGAGGCGGAGUGCCCGGCGUCUCUUGGGAUCGGAGCCUCCUGAAUUCCACGCUGGGACCUUAAUUUGGUUUUAACACAAAUAAAGAUCUCACAUAAAGAUAAA